CGCGGAAGAUGUAACGGGGCUGAAAUAUAGCACCGAAGCUGCGGCAUCAGGCGUAUCACUAAUACGCCUUACGAUUAACAACAUGGAAUGGUGCGAAGCGACAUGAAAGGUUGUUCAAGCAACCCGAACGUUGAGUCGGGACAUCUUUGAAGUAAGGAUUAUUAGUGAUACGCCUGUUGGGUAGGGGAGCGUUGUGUAAGCGGAAGAAGGUUCAUCGAGAGGUGGGCUGGACGUAUCACAAGUGCGAAUGCUGACAUAAGUAACGAUAAAACGGGUGAAAAACCCGUUCGCCGGAAGACCAAGGGUUCCUGUCCAACGUUAAUCGGGGCAGGGUGAGUCGGCUCCUAAGGCGAGGCUGAAAAGCGUAGUCGAUGGGAAACAGGUUAAUAUUCCUGUACUUGGUAAAGCUGCGAUGUGGGGACGGAGUAGGUUAGGUUAUCGCACUGUUGGAUAUGUGCGUUUAAGUUGGUAGGUGGGAAGUUUAGGCAAAUCCGGACUUCCUUAACACAGAGAGAUGAUGACGAGGCUCUACGGAGCUGAAGUAACUGAUACCACACUUCCAGGAAAAGCCACUAAGCGAAAGGCUUUACUAAACCGUACUGAAAACCGACACAGGUGGUCAGGUAGAGAAUACUCAGGCGCUUGAGAGAACUCGGGUGAAGGAACUAGGCAAAAUAGCACCGUAACUUCGGGAGAAGGUGCGCUUACAGUAAUUGUAGUCCCUUACGGAUGAAGGUGAAGUAAGUCGAAGUGACCCGCUGGCUGCAACUGUUUAUUAAAAACACAGCACUCUGCAAACACGAAAGUGGACGUAUAGGGUGUGAUGCCUGCCCGGUGCUGGAAGGUUAAUUGAUGGUGUAAUCGCAAGAGAAGCACCUGAUCGAAGCCCCAGUAAACGGCGGCCGUAACUAUAACGGUCCUAAGGUAGCGAAAUUCCUUGUCGGGUAAGUUCCGACCUGCACGAAUGGCAUAAUGAUGGCCAGGCUGUCUCCACCCGAGACUCAGUGAAAUUGAAAUCGCCGUGAAGAUGCGGUGUACCCGCGGCUAGACGGAAAGACCCCGUGAACCUUUACUAUAGCUUGACACUGAACAUUGAAUUUUGAUGUGUAGGAUAGGUGGGAGCCUUUGAAGCAGUGACGCCAGUCAUUGUGGAGGCGAGCUUGAAAUACCACCCUUUAACGUUUGAUGUUCUAACGAAGAUGACGAAACGUGGUCUCGGACAGUGUCUGGUGGGUAGUUUGACUGGGGCGGUCUCCUCCCAAAGCGUAACGGAGGAGCACGAAGGUUUGCUAAUCACGGUCGGACAUCGUGAGGUUAGUGCAAUGGUAUAAGCAAGCUUAACUGCGAGACAGACAAGUCGAGCAGGUACGAAAGUAGGUCAUAGUGAUCCGGUGGUUCUGAAUGGAAGGGCCAUCGCUCAACGGAUAAAAGGUACUCCGGGGAUAACAGGCUGAUACCGCCCAAGAGUUCAUAUCGACGGCGGUGUUUGGCACCUCGAUGUCGGCUCAUCACAUCCUGGGGCUGAAGUAGGUCCCAAGGGUAUGGCUGUUCGCCAUUUAAAGUGGUACGCGAGCUGGGUUUAGAACGUCGUGAGACAGUUCGGUCCCUAUCUGCCGUGGGCGUAGGAGAAUUGGUUGGGGCUGCUCCUAGUACGAGAGGACCGGAGUGGACGCACCACUGGUGUUCCGGUUGUGUCGCCAGACGCAUUGCCGGGUAGCUAAGUGCGGAAGAGAUAAGUGCUGAAAGCAUCUAAGCACGAAACUUGCCAAGAGAUGAGUUCUCCCAAUCUAAGAGAUAGUAAGGGUUGUUGUAGACUACGACGUAGAUAGGUCUGGUGUAUAAGUGUAGUGAUACAUUGAGCUAACAGAUACUAAUUGCCCGAGAGGCUUAACUAU
Molecule: ribosomal RNA, 1895 nt
Filed under: Haemophilus influenzae
Lineage: Bacteria; Pseudomonadati; Pseudomonadota; Gammaproteobacteria; Pasteurellales; Pasteurellaceae
Description: partial 23S ribosomal RNA
Rfam family: Bacterial large subunit ribosomal RNA
Source: RNAcentral